CCAAAACCAUCAAAUAUGAAUAAUAUGGCAUGGGGGUAGGGAAUACCAUGAUAGGGACUAGUUCCCCAUGUCAUCUUCAAGACCCAAUAAGCCAGGACCAUCCUCAUCUAGUGUGCUAAAAAAGGAAACUCCUGUGUGUCUGAUGUCUUUACCUUAGAGCCUUUUUAUUCAAACCAAAUAGCUUAGCGAUGAUCUUCACACCCUUUUAUACACAUACGGGUAUAUGGUCCUGAAAUCCCUCUUCUUCAACUCUACAUGUGGGCUUAAUCUAGGGAAUCUUAAGUAGUAUGUUGAUCAAAAAGACCUGCCGUGGUACUGGAGAAGGUGUAACCUCAGGGAGGCAUGUGCAUCUUCAGUGAAUCAUUGCUUGCUCCUCGUCUUUCUUUGGAUGUGGUGUUCGCUAGUGAACGAGGCAUUAUUAUCUCCAUGUAUUUUGUUGAAAGAUUUCAUCAGUUGGAACUGUAGUACAUCAUUUGAAUGUAGGUACAAGGUAUAGUGUACAUCUUCAGAUCCAGUUAGUUCACGGCAUCCAGUCAGCAGGUGAUGAGUCCUUUUGAUUCAAGGGAUUGAGUUUGUUAUACUGUUUGAGAAGUGUUGUAUUUUCUUUAUUCAGUCGUAUUGAGUUGGUUUAGUCGGGAAUCAUGACCCGGAUAUCUACAGUCAGUACUAUUAGAGGCUUUAUAGACAGUCAGUAGAUGUUGAUGUAUUUCAUUCCAGUUUUGGUUGUGAAAGCAGAGUUGUAAUCUUGUAAAUUUAGUUUUGUAUCUCUCAUAUUUAGAAAAGAGUUAUUUUCUGCAGAUUUGUAUAGAUUUAUACUUUUUAU
Molecule: long non-coding RNA, 823 nt
Organism: Capsicum annuum
Lineage: Eukaryota; Viridiplantae; Streptophyta; Magnoliopsida; Solanales; Solanaceae
Exons: 4
Source: RefSeq, a predicted model, not a curated record